GUUAAGGUGGCAGAGCCCGGCCAUUGCAGAAGACCUAAGCCCUUCCAAUAGAGGUUCAAAUCCUCUCUUUAACU
RNAcentral lists this transfer RNA (74 nucleotides) under Danacetichthys galathenus. Its description in RNAcentral is "tRNA-Leu (UUR)". It matches the Rfam family "tRNA". Rfam says of the family: Transfer RNA (tRNA) molecules are approximately 80 nucleotides in length. Their secondary structure includes four short double-helical elements and three loops (D, anti-codon, and T loops). RNAcentral also lists the same sequence under 5 other names. The record is from RNAcentral. Lineage: Eukaryota; Metazoa; Chordata; Actinopteri; Beryciformes; Cetomimidae.